This 206-nucleotide ribosomal RNA is filed under the name uncultured bacterium. Its description in RNAcentral is "partial 16S ribosomal RNA". It matches the Rfam family "Bacterial small subunit ribosomal RNA", at positions 152 to 352 of the family's 1533-position model. The record is from RNAcentral.
CGAAAGGAAGAUUAAUACCGCAUAAGAUUGUAGUAUCGCAUGAUAUAGCAAUUAAAGGAGCAAUUCGCUAUAAGAUGGACCCGCGUCGCAUUAGCUAGUUGGUGAGGUAAUGGCUCACCAAGGCGACGAUGCGUAGCCGACCUGAGAGGGUGAUCGGCCACAUUGGGACUGAGACACGGCCCAGACUCCUACGGGAGGCAGCCAUG